Molecule: transfer RNA, 75 nt
Filed under: Gammaproteobacteria bacterium
Lineage: Bacteria; Pseudomonadati; Pseudomonadota; Gammaproteobacteria
Description: tRNA-Val
Rfam family: tRNA
About the family: Transfer RNA (tRNA) molecules are approximately 80 nucleotides in length. Their secondary structure includes four short double-helical elements and three loops (D, anti-codon, and T loops).
Source: RNAcentral
AGGCGCGUAGCUCAGUGGUAGAGCAUCACCUUGACAUGGUGAGGGUCGGUGGUUCGAUCCCACUCGCGCCUACCA